RNAcentral lists this ribosomal RNA (448 nucleotides) under Cladonia rangiferina. RNAcentral describes it as "SSU rRNA". It matches the Rfam family "Bacterial small subunit ribosomal RNA", at positions 777 to 1190 of the family's 1533-position model. Lineage: Eukaryota; Fungi; Ascomycota; Lecanoromycetes; Lecanorales; Cladoniaceae. The record is from RNAcentral. RNAcentral also lists the same sequence under 1 other name.
AUUAGAUACCCCAGUAGUCAAAGCAGAAAAUGAUGAAUGUCAUAGAUUAGAUAUACAAUUUAUUCUAUAAAUGAAAGUGUAAGCAUUCCACCUCAAGAGUAAUUUGGCAACAUUGGAACUGAAAUCAUUAGACCGUUUCUGAAACCAGUAGUGAAGUAUGUUGUUUAAUUUGAUGAUACGCAAAAAACCUUACCACAAUUUGAAUAUUUAUAUAUAUCUUUUAUUGAUUUUUACUAACAUAUAUGUAGACAAUUAAAAUGAUGCUUAUUUCUCGUUUGUGAGACUAAGCAUCAAAAAAGAUAGUAUAUUUACAAGCGUUGCACGGCUGUCUUCAGUUAAUGUCGUGAGAUUUUGGUUAGUUCCAUUAAAUUAACGUAAACCCUUACUUUAUUUUUAUAUAAAGUAGUUCUCCGCUAUAUUGGAUAUGAUAACAGGGACUAAGACAAGU